RNAcentral lists this ribosomal RNA (253 nucleotides) under uncultured bacterium. Its description in RNAcentral is "partial 16S ribosomal RNA". It matches the Rfam family "Bacterial small subunit ribosomal RNA", at positions 524 to 776 of the family's 1533-position model. The record is from RNAcentral.
UACGUAGGGGGCAAGCGUUGUCCGGAAUCAUUGGGCGUAAAGCGCACGUAGGCGGCGCAGUAAGUCGGACGUGAAAUCCCUCGGCUCAACCGAGGACGUGCAUCCGAAACUACUGUGCUCGAGUAUGGAAGAGGGUCGCGGAAUUCUCGGUGUAGAGGUGAAAUUCGUAGAUAUCGGGAGGAACACCAGUGGCGAAGGCGGCGACCUGGGCCAAUACUGACGCUGAGGUGCGAAAGCGUGGGGAGCGAACAGG